This 253-nucleotide ribosomal RNA is filed under the name uncultured Rikenellaceae bacterium. Its description in RNAcentral is "partial 16S ribosomal RNA". It matches the Rfam family "Bacterial small subunit ribosomal RNA", at positions 524 to 776 of the family's 1533-position model. The record is from RNAcentral. Lineage: Bacteria; Pseudomonadati; Bacteroidota; Bacteroidia; Bacteroidales; Rikenellaceae.
UACGGAGGAUUCAAGCGUUAUCCGGAUUUAUUGGGUUUAAAGGGUGCGUAGGCGGUCGGAUAAGUUAGCGGUGAAAUACCGAUGCUCAACAUCGGGGCUGCCGCUGAUACUGUAGGACUAGAGAUCGGAUGCAGCAGGCGGAAUGUGUAGUGUAGCGGUGAAAUGCAUAGAUAUUACACAGAACUCCGAUUGCGAAGGCAGCAUACCGGCGCCCGACUGACGCUGAAGCACGAAAGCGUGGGUAUCGAACAGG